GUUGACUGAAUGAUGAACUCAUAGUUCAGCCGAUAAUGAUGACGAUCAAUAGUCUUUCGCCUUUAUCUGACAGUUCCU
Molecule: small nucleolar RNA, 78 nt
Organism: Amblyraja radiata (thorny skate)
Lineage: Eukaryota; Metazoa; Chordata; Chondrichthyes; Rajiformes; Rajidae
Product: small nucleolar RNA snR60/Z15/Z230/Z193/J17
Exons: 1
Source: RefSeq, a predicted model, not a curated record